CCUACGGGGGGCUGCAGUGGGGAAUCUUGCGCAAUGGGCGAAAGCCUGACGCAGCCAUGCCGCGUGAAUGAUGAAGGUCUUAGGAUUGUAAAAUUCUUUCACCGGGGACGAUAAUGACGGUACCCGGAGAAGAAGCCCCGGCUAACUUCGUGCCAGCAGCCGCGGUAAUACGAAGGGGGCUAGCGUUGCUCGGAAUUACUGGGCGUAAAGGGAGCGUAGGCGGACAUUUAAGUCAGGGGUGAAAUCCCGGGGCUCAACCUCGGAAUUGCCUUUGAUACUGGGUGUCUUGAGUAUGAGAGAGGUGUGUGGAACUCCGAGUGUAGAGGUGAAAUUCGUAGAUAUUCGGAAGAACACCAGUGGCGAAGGCGACACACUGGCUCAUUACUGACGCUGAGGCUCGAAAGCGUGGGGAGCAAACAGGAUUAGAUACCCAUGUAGUC
This 440-nucleotide ribosomal RNA is filed under the name uncultured bacterium. RNAcentral describes it as "bacterial SSU rRNA". It matches the Rfam family "Bacterial small subunit ribosomal RNA", at positions 338 to 795 of the family's 1533-position model. The record is from RNAcentral.